GUAGCGGCGAGCGAAGCGGGAAGAGCCCAAUAUGAAAAGCCAGCUUGCUGGCGUUGUAGUUGAGCGUCUUUGGGGUGUCAGUUUGGGAAAGUGGCAUGAGAGUGCUCACCGGGGAGGGUGAAAGUCCCGUCCAUCCCAUCCAGGACACCUCGCACAAAGGCGUUUCAGACGAGUCGGGUAGCUUGGGAAUGCUGCUCUAAUUGGUGGUAAAUCUCAUCAAAGGCUAAAUACUGGUGGGAGACCGAUAGCGAACAAGUACCGUGAGGGAAAGAUGAAAAGUACUUUGAAAAGAGGGUAAAAAGAACCUGAAACCGUUACGGGGGAAGCGGAUUGCGUUGGCCUGGUGGCUGCCUGUGUGUUCAGCCAUUUAUGGUGCAUUGAUACAGGUGGUUAUUCGUCGUGGCUUUUCGGUAGCUGAUAAUGAGCUGCUGAAGGGUGAGGGCUCCCCUAUUUUUUUUGGGUGAGGACGACGGAGUGACGACGCGAUACGACCCGUCUUGAAACACGGACCAAGGAGUCUAGCGCAGGUGCGAGUCAAAGGGUGUUAAAACCUGUGGGCGUAGUGAAAGCGACUUUUUUUUAUAUUGUAAAAACGAGCAGUUUGGGGCGGCAUAGAAUCGUUGAUUCUAGGUCUGACCUUGAGCAGUUGCGCUGGGACCCGAAAGAUGGUGAACUAUGCCGGAGUAGGGCGAAGCCAGAGGAAACUCUGGUGGAGGCUCGUAGCGGUGCUGACGUGCAAAUCGCUCGUCGAACUUGGGUAUAGGGGCGAAAGACUAAUCGAACCAUCUAGUAGCUGGUUUCCUCCGAAGUUUCUCUCAGGAUAGCAGGCCGACACAUUUUUUUACGUUGUUUUGUGCGGUAAAGCGAAUGAUUAGCGUAUUCGGGGGCGUUUAGCCUUUGGACGAUUCUCAAACUUUAAAUGCGCAAGGGUACCGGUGCUUUGUUGAGCGGUACCGUUAAAAACGUCGGCCUUGUGGGCCACUUUUGGUAAGCAGAACUGGCGAUACGGGAUGAACCGUAAGCAUGGUUAAGGUGCCAAACUGCCCGCUUAUAGAUCCCACAAAAGGUGUUGAUUCAUCGAGACAGCAGGACGGUGGCCAUGGAAGUCGGAAUCCGCUAAGGAGUGUGUAACAACUCACCUGCCGAAUGAAUCAGCCCUGAAAAUGGAUGGCGCUUAAGCGGGCGACCGACACCAUGCCGUCUGUACAAGAUGAAUGUUUACAGAUGAGUAGGAGGACGUGGCGGUCGUGUCGAAGCAUGCGUGCGAACGCGUGUGGAACGGCCGCUAGUGCAGAUCUUGGUGGUAGUAGCAAAUAUUCAAGCGAGAUCCUUGAAGGGCGAAGCGGGGAAGGGUUCCACGCAAACAUUGAUUGGGCGUGGGUGAGUCGUUCCUAAGCCGAGUGGCAAUUGCUAAGUAGCGGCGAAAGGGAAGCAGGUUGACAUUCCUGCACACGGAUGUGGAGGCGGUGACGCUUUAAUGAGGGCGAAGACGCUGGCGAUGGCGCUGGGCAGAGAUUUCUUUUCUGUUUGACCGCUGAAGCGCGCGGUGUGGAAUCCGCUUGUCGGGAGAAACACGCGCGUUCGGGCAGAGCGCCGGGGCUAUUCCGGCGUCCAGCUCGCCAUCGACGGCCCUUGAAAAUUUGCCUGCUGGAAUAGUUUUUUUAUUCUAUGAAGAUCCACGCCGUGGCGUACCGAUAACCGCAUCAGGUCCCCAAGGUGAACAGCCUCUGCUCUAUAUGAAUAAUGCAGGUAAGGGAAGUCGGCAAAUUGGACCCGUAACUUUGGGAAAAGGGUUGGCUCUAGUGCUGCGUGGGAGUAGUUGUCGGGUGUGGGCGUUUUUGGACUUGCUGAGCGAGCGCGAAGAGGGCGUUCGCGCUUCUUUUUGUGUUCAAUUGGCGAGUCUGGAUCCGCCUCGCUCGACGACGCCCACAGCAUGCAGCAGACUAGAACUGCAACGGGCAAAGGGAAUCCGACUGUUUAAUUAAAACAAAGCAUGCGA
Molecule: ribosomal RNA, 1999 nt
Filed under: Phyllymenia sp.
Lineage: Eukaryota; Rhodophyta; Florideophyceae; Halymeniales; Halymeniaceae
Description: partial large subunit ribosomal RNA
Rfam family: Eukaryotic large subunit ribosomal RNA
Source: RNAcentral